This 742-nucleotide ribosomal RNA is filed under the name Nocardia otitidiscaviarum. Its description in RNAcentral is "bacterial SSU rRNA". It matches the Rfam family "Bacterial small subunit ribosomal RNA", at positions 118 to 872 of the family's 1533-position model. The record is from RNAcentral. Lineage: Bacteria; Bacillati; Actinomycetota; Actinomycetes; Mycobacteriales; Nocardiaceae.
UGGGUGAUCUGCCUCGCACUCUGGGAUAAGCCUGGGAAACUGGGUCUAAUACCGGAUAUGACCACGAAUCGCAUGGUUUGUGGUGGAAAGGUUUACUGGUGCGAGAUGGGCCCGCGGCCUAUCAGCUUGUUGGUGGGGUAACGGCCUACCAAGGCGACGACGGGUAGCCGGCCUGAGAGGGCGACCGGCCACACUGGGACUGAGACACGGCCCAGACUCCUACGGGAGGCAGCAGUGGGGAAUAUUGCACAAUGGGCGAAAGCCUGAUGCAGCGACGCCGCGUGAGGGAUGACGGCCUUCGGGUUGUAAACCUCUUUCGACAGGGACGAAGCGCAAGUGACGGUACCUGUAGAAGAAGCACCGGCCAACUACGUGCCAGCAGCCGCGGUAAUACGUAGGGUGCGAGCGUUGUCCGGAAUUACUGGGCGUAAAGAGCUUGUAGGCGGUCUGUCGCGUCGAUCGUGAAAACGUGCAGCUCAACUGCGCGCCUGCGGUCGAUACGGGCAGACUAGAGUACUUCAGGGGAGACUGGAAUUCCUGGUGUAGCGGUGAAAUGCGCAGAUAUCAGGAGGAACACCGGUGGCGAAGGCGGGUCUCUGGGAAGUAACUGACGCUGAGAAGCGAAAGCGUGGGUAGCGAACAGGAUUAGAUACCCUGGUAGUCCACGCCGUAAACGGUGGGUACUAGGUGUGGGUUUCCUUCCACGGGAUCCGUGCCGUAGCUAACGCAUUAAGUACCCCGC